RNAcentral lists this ribosomal RNA (523 nucleotides) under Acidops fimbriatus. RNAcentral describes it as "partial 16S large subunit ribosomal RNA". It matches the Rfam family "Bacterial large subunit ribosomal RNA", at positions 1831 to 2597 of the family's 2925-position model. Lineage: Eukaryota; Metazoa; Arthropoda; Malacostraca; Decapoda; Acidopsidae. The record is from RNAcentral.
GUCUAUUUGGAGGUAUUUAUAGUUUGGCCUGCUCACUGAUUUAUAGAAUUGAAGAGCUGCGGUAAAUUGACCGUGCAAAGGUAGCAUAAUCAUUAGUUUUUUAAUUGGAAGCUUGUAUGAAUGGUCGGACAAGAGAAAGUCUGUCUCUACUAUAAAAGUAUAAGUUAACUUUUAAGUGAAAAGGCUUAAAUAUUUUAGGGGGACGAUAAGACCCUAUAAGCUUUAUAUUUUAUUGAAAUUUUAUUAAAUUGUUAAUUAAAAAUUUAAUUUGGGUAAUAUCUUUUGUUGGGGCGAUGUGAGUAUAAGUUAUAUUAGCUGCUUAAAUGAGAAACAAUAAUGAGUGAAUGUUAAAGAAAUAAAUGAUCCUUUUUAGAGAUAAAAAGAUUAAGUUACUUUAGGGAUAACAGCGUAAUUUUUUUUAAGAGUCCUUAUCGAAAAAAAAGUUUGCGACCUCGAUGUUGAAUUAAAAUGUCUUUUUAGUGUAGCCGCUUAGGAAGAAGGUCUGUUCGACCUUUAAUUUUUU